AACCCUCUUCGACUAUGAUGAUGAAAAAACCUAACGAUUAUUACAAGACUGUGAUAUAUGACAAGGAGAUGCUGGUCAACUGGAGGAGCUAGGAGGCGCUGAAGUUUCUGAUGGUCGCGAAGCUGCUUUUGGCCGACGACGACACGAAGUCGAACAAAAUGGCCUUGGUUUUCAUCCACGAUGGGUUGAAUUCCCUGAAGUAGCCAGUGGUGGUUCAAUAGUUCGUGAACCAUGAUGGCGUGAUCUUCAAGGUGUACGUGGUCAGGGAGUGUGUGCCUUGCGUGAAGCGAAAGUCCUUGCCGAAUGUGGAAGAGAAGAAGUUGGUAAGGGUUUCAGAGGACUUGUUUUCGUUCUCGCAGGUGUGAAAUUUGGCCAUUGAUUAGAGAAUCAACGAUAGGUAUUAUAAGAUGAUGCAGUUGGAUGAUACCGAAAUGGCUCCCUUGAGCUUCGUUACUCAGAUAGCUCGGGGGUUGAGGCACGUGAUGAGGCUCAACUUGCUUGAUUUCAAUGUUAUUAGGGAUUUAUGAUUAUCAACAUCUUUAUUGUUUAGAGAUACCCAUUCUAAUGUAUUGGAAGAAAGUUUGCAAAAGCUUGGAGUUGAGAAACUCAACAAAGAUGAUGUUCAAAAGCUACAAUGGGAGGUCUUAGAAGCCAAAAUGGAAACUAGAUUGAUUUCAUGCGUAUUGCUGUCAAAUUGUUGUUUGCUGGUGAACGAAAAGUCUGUGAUCAGAUAUUUGAAGGAUUUGACACACUUAGUGAUCAGUGUUUUGCUGAAGUAACUAAAAACAACAUUUCCAUGCUGCUUAGUUUUGGAGAAGCAAUUGCCAAAAGCAAGAGGUCACCUGAAAAGUUAUUUGUACUUUUGGACAUGUAUGGGUUCUUGCUAGUUUUUACUCUGAACAAUUUUUACAUUUGACCUGUGAUAGAAUUUGACAUUAGCCUAGAUGUCUGAUAUAUGUGUGUUCAUGGUCAUGCACCAUAGGGUUUUGUGGCUGUUUUGCAUGUGUUUAACAAGAAAUAGGAGGCAUAUUUUGAUGGUUGUAACUUGUUAUCAUCUUUCGCUCUGGACAAUUUGUAGAUUAAUAUGCUCUUUAAAGGCAGAGCUUGAACCAAAAUAAGAGAAGCUAUAUCGGGUUUGACAAAACAACUUGCACAAAUAGCCUAGGAGACCUUUGGAGAUUUUGAAGAAGCAGUUGAGAAGGAUGCUACCAAGACUGCAGUAACUGAUGGAACUGUCCAUCCUUUGACAAGCUAUGUGAAGUUUUUAUUUGAAGUGCUCCACAACCACUAUGGAGAGUCAUCAUGAGUUGUGUACCAUGACUUUGGAGUACAAAAGGGAGUUUGGCAAGAACAAUUACUGUGCAAGAUUCUCUGACUGAUGUGUCUGGUGCUUUGAUUUAGGGAAUUGUGCACCAUAAACAUAUGGAUUUGAUUAGUAGUGUGGUAUCAAUAUCUUUCCCACUUGCAAAUUCGAUUACACAUUUUGAUAAGCUUUUUUUAUUUUUUUAUUUUUUUAUAUUUUAUUAUCAACUCUAGCACUACUUUCCCUAUCACUUUUGGAUUUUCAUUUCAUUUUGAUCGAUAUGUUACUCCUAGGUGUUAUCAAUAUUUAUUUGUUUCAUUAAAAUUUAUACAUAAGCAUGUAUAUU
Non-coding RNA from Cajanus cajan (pigeon pea), 1649 nucleotides. The record is from RefSeq and is a predicted model, not a curated record. Lineage: Eukaryota; Viridiplantae; Streptophyta; Magnoliopsida; Fabales; Fabaceae.